GAUGAACGCUGGCGGCGUGCCUAAUACAUGCAAGUCGAGCGAACAGACGAGGAGCUUGCUCCUCUGACGUUAGCGGCGGACGGGUGAGUAACACGUGGAUAACCUACCUAUAAGACUGGGAUAACUUCGGGAAACCGGAGCUAAUACCGGAUAAUAUAUUGAACCGCAUGGUUCAAUAGUGAAAGACGGUUUUGCUGUCACUUAUACAUGGAUCCGCGCCGCAUUAGCUAGUUGGUAAGGUAACGGCUUACCAAGGCAACGAUACGUAGCCGACCUGAGAGGGUGAUCGGCCACACUGGAACUGAGACACGGUCCAGACUCCUACGGGAGGCAGCAGUAGGGAAUCUUCCGCAAUGGGCGAAAGCUUGACGGAGCAACGCCGCGUGAGUGAUGAAGGUCUUCGGAUCGUAAAACUCUGUUAUUAGGGAAGAACAAAUGUGUAAGUAACUAUGCACGUCUUGACGGUACCUAAUCAGAAAGCCACGGCUAACUACGUG
This 497-nucleotide ribosomal RNA is filed under the name uncultured bacterium. Its description in RNAcentral is "partial 16S ribosomal RNA". It matches the Rfam family "Bacterial small subunit ribosomal RNA", at positions 28 to 507 of the family's 1533-position model. The record is from RNAcentral.